GACGAACGCUGGCGGCGUGCUUAACACAUGCAAGUCGAACGGAAAGGCCCUGCUUUUGUGGGGUGCUCGAGUGGCGAACGGGUGAGUAACACGUGAGUAACCUGCCCUUGACUUUGGGAUAACUUCAGGAAACUGGGGCUAAUACCGGAUAGGAGCUCCUGCUGCAUGGUGGGGGUUGGAACGUUUCGGCGGGUGGGGAUGGACUCGCGGCUUAUCAGCUUGUUGGUGGGGUAGUGGCUUACCAAGGCUUUGACGGGUAGCCGGCCUGAGAGGGUGACCGGCCACAUUGGGACUGAGAUACGGCCCAGACUCCUACGGGAGGCAGCAGUGGGGAAUAUUGCACAAUGGGCGGAAGCCUGAUGCAGCAGCGCCGCGUGCGGGAUGACGGCCUUCGGGUUGUAAACCGCUUUCGCCUGUGACGAAGCGUGAGUGACGGUAAUGGGUAAAGAAGCACCGGCUAACUACGUG
Molecule: ribosomal RNA, 468 nt
Filed under: uncultured bacterium
Lineage: Bacteria
Description: partial 16S ribosomal RNA
Rfam family: Bacterial small subunit ribosomal RNA
Source: RNAcentral